RNAcentral lists this ribosomal RNA (274 nucleotides) under uncultured bacterium. Its description in RNAcentral is "partial 16S ribosomal RNA". It matches the Rfam family "Bacterial small subunit ribosomal RNA", at positions 523 to 796 of the family's 1533-position model. The record is from RNAcentral.
AGACGAAGGUGGCAACCGUUGUUCGGAAUCACUGGGCAUAAAGCGCACGUAGGCGGGAAAGCAAGUCGGGUGUGAAAUCCCUCGGCCCAACCGAGGAACUGCGCCCGAAACUGCUUUUCUUGAGGACAGAAGGGGAGCGUGGAAUUCCUGGUGGAGCGGUGAAAUGCGUUGAUAUCAGGAGGAACACCGGCGGCGAAGGCGACGCUCUGGUCUGUUUCUGACGCUAAGGUGCGAAAGCCAGGGGAGCAAACGGGAUUAGAUACCCCGGUAGUCC